GCAGUGGCGGUUCAGUGGUAGAAUUCCUGCCUUCCAUGUAGGAGACCUGGGUUCAAUUCCAACCAAUGCA
This 70-nucleotide transfer RNA is filed under the name Loxodonta africana (African savanna elephant). It matches the Rfam family "tRNA". From Rfam's summary of the family: Transfer RNA (tRNA) molecules are approximately 80 nucleotides in length. The record is from Rfam by way of RNAcentral. Lineage: Eukaryota; Metazoa; Chordata; Mammalia; Proboscidea; Elephantidae.